Molecule: ribosomal RNA, 460 nt
Filed under: uncultured bacterium
Lineage: Bacteria
Description: partial 16S ribosomal RNA
Rfam family: Bacterial small subunit ribosomal RNA
Source: RNAcentral
CCUACGGGAGGCAGCAGUGAGGAAUAUUGGUCAAUGGGCGCAAGCCUGAACCAGCCAAGUCGCGUGAGGGAUGACGGUCCUAUGGAUUGUAAACCUCUUUUGUCGGGGAGCAAGGCCCGCCACGUAUGGCGGGAAGGAGAGUACCCGAAGACAAAACAUCGGCUAACUACGUGCCAGCAGCCGCGGUAAUACGGAGGAUGCGAGCGUUAUCCGGAUUGAUUGGGUUUAAGGGGCGCGUAGGCGGAAGGUUAGGUCAGCGGUCACAUGUCGGUGUCAAACACCGGCCUGCAGUUGAAACUGGUCUUCUUGAGUGAGCGAGAAGUAUGUGGAAUGCGUGGUGUAGCGGUGAAAUGCAUAGAUAUCACGCAGAACUCCGAUUGCGAAGGCAGCACACCGGCGCUCAACUGACGCUGAGGCACGAAAGCGUGGGGAUCGAACAGGAUUAGAUACCCCUGUAGUC